UAGGGAAUCUUCGGCAAUGGACGGAAGUCUGACCGAGCAACGCCGCGUGAGUGAAGAAGGUUUUCGGAUCGUAAAGCUCUGUUGUAAGAGAAGAACGAGUGUGAGAGUGGAAAGUUCACACUGUGACGGUAUCUUACCAGAAAGGGACGGCUAACUACGUGCCAGCAGCCGCGGUAAUACGUAGGUCCCGAGCGUUGUCCGGAUUUAUUGGGCGUAAAGCGAGCGCAGGCGGUUAGAUAAGUCUGAAGUUAAAGGCUGUGGCUUAACCAUAGUACGCUUUGGAAACUGUCUAACUUGAGUGCAAGAGGGGAGAGUGGAAUUCCAUGUGUAGCGGUGAAAUGCGUAGAUAUAUGGAGGAACACCGGUGGCGAAAGCGGCUCUCUGGCUUGUAACUGACGCUGAGGCUCGAAAGCGUGGGGAGCAAACAGGAUUAGAUACCCUGGUAGUCCAUGCCGUAAACGAUGAGUGCUAGGUGUUAGACCCUUUCCGGGGUUUAGUGCCGUAGCUAACGCAUUAAGCACUCCGCCUGGGGAGUACGACCGGAAGGUUG
This 550-nucleotide ribosomal RNA is filed under the name uncultured bacterium. Its description in RNAcentral is "bacterial SSU rRNA". It matches the Rfam family "Bacterial small subunit ribosomal RNA", at positions 355 to 896 of the family's 1533-position model. The record is from RNAcentral.